Molecule: ribosomal RNA, 256 nt
Filed under: uncultured bacterium
Lineage: Bacteria
Description: partial 16S ribosomal RNA
Rfam family: Bacterial small subunit ribosomal RNA
Source: RNAcentral
GCAAGUCGAGGGGUAACAGAUAUAAAGCUUGCUUUUUCGCUGACGACCGGCGCACGGGUGCGUAACGCGUAUAGAAUCUACCUUUUACUGAGGGAUAGCCUUUAGAAAUGAAGAUUAAUACCUCAUAGUAUCAAAUUUUCGCAUGAUUAUUUGAUUAAAGAUUUAUUGGUAAAAGAUGACUAUGCGUCCUAUUAGCUAGAUGGUAAGGUAACGGCUUACCAUGGCAACGAUAGGUAGGGGUCCUGAGAGGGAGAUC